AAAGUAACUAUGCCAGGGGAGAUACCAUGAUCACCAAGGUGGUUUUCCCAGGGCAAGGCUUAUCCAUUGCACUCCAGAUGUGCUGACCCCUGCGAUUUCCCCAAAUGUGGGAAACUGGACUACAUAAUUUGUGGUAGUGGGGGACUGCG
This is a non-coding RNA of Dipodomys ordii (Ord's kangaroo rat), 149 nucleotides long. NCBI's taxonomy places the organism in Eukaryota, Metazoa, Chordata, Mammalia, Rodentia, Heteromyidae. The record is from Rfam.